ACUCCUACGGGAGGCAGCAGUAGGGAAUAUUGGUCAAUGGGCGAAAGCCUGAACCAGCCAUGCCGCGUGUCAGAUGAAGGUCCUCUGGAUUGUAAAUGUACUUUUCUACGGGAAGAAUGAGCCGUCUGCGGACGGAAGUUGACGGUACCGUAGGAAUAAGCACCGGCUAACUACGUGCCAGCAGCCGCGGUAAUACGUAGGGUGCAAGCGUUGUCCGGAUUUACUGGGUUUAAAGGGUACGUAGGCGGUUGUGCCAAGUCUGGGGUGAAAGUUUGCAGCUCAACUGUAAAAUUGCCUUGGAUACUGGUCGGCUAGAGUAGUGGAGCGGUGGCUGGAAUUUAUAGUGUAGCGGUGAAAUGCUUAGAUACUAUGAGGAACACCAAUUGCGAAGGCAGGUCACUGGUCACUAACUGACGCUGAGGUACGAAAGUGUGGGAUCAAACAGGAUUAGAUACCCUGGUAGGAUAGCG
Molecule: ribosomal RNA, 470 nt
Filed under: uncultured bacterium
Lineage: Bacteria
Description: bacterial SSU rRNA
Rfam family: Bacterial small subunit ribosomal RNA
Source: RNAcentral